GCCAGACUCCUACGGGAGGCAGCAGUGGGGAAUAUUGCACAAUGGGGGAAACCCUGAUGCAGCGACGCCGCGUGAGCGAUGAAGUAUUUCGGUAUGUAAAGCUCUAUCAGCAGGGAAGAAGAUGACGGUACCUGACUAAGAAGCCCCGGCUAACUACGUGCCAGCAGCCGCGGUAAUACGUAGGGGGCAAGCGUUAUCCGGAUUUACUGGGUGUAAAGGGAGCGUAGACGGCAGUGCAAGUCCGGAGUGAAAGCCCGGGGCUCAACCCUGGGACUGCUCUGGAAACUGUAAAGCUGGAGUGCGGGAGGGGCAGGCGGAAUUCCUGGUGUAGCGGUGAAAUGCGUAGAUAUCAGGAGGAACACCGGCGGCGAAGGCGGCCUGCUGGACCGUAACUGACGUUGAGGCUCGAAAGCGUGGGGAGCAAACAGGAUUAGAUACCCGAGUAAUA
This 448-nucleotide ribosomal RNA is filed under the name uncultured bacterium. RNAcentral's name for it is "bacterial SSU rRNA". It matches the Rfam family "Bacterial small subunit ribosomal RNA", at positions 330 to 795 of the family's 1533-position model. The record is from RNAcentral.